This 96-nucleotide transfer RNA is filed under the name Rhodococcus erythropolis. Its description in RNAcentral is "tRNA-Arg". RNAcentral also lists the same sequence under 1 other name. Lineage: Bacteria; Bacillati; Actinomycetota; Actinomycetes; Mycobacteriales; Nocardiaceae. The record is from RNAcentral.
GCGGAUCUGGGUGAGGAACAGCUUCUUCGCCAGCUUCGGAUUGGUGCGUGAGAGCUGAAAGCUGGCGCGUUGCAGUGCGAUAUUGCGGGCUCGACC